CCUACGGGGGGCUGCAGUGGGGAAUAUUGCGCAAUGGGCGAAAGCCUGACGCAGCGACGCCGCGUGAGGGAUGAAGGUCUUCGGAUCGUACACCUCUGUCAGCAGGGAAGAACGGUCACUGUGCUAAUCAGCAGUGAAUUGACGGUACCGGCAAAGGAAGCAGCGGCUAACGCCGUGCCAGCAGCCGCGGUAAUACGGAGGGUUCGGGAGUUAAUCGGAAUUACUGGGCGGAAAGCCCUCGUAGGCGGUAUGUCAAGUCAAGGGUGAAAUCCCCGCGCUCAACGUGGGAACUGCCUUUGAAACUGGCAAACUUGAGUGUGUGAGAGGAUAGUGGAAUUCCAGGUGUAGGAGUGAAAUCCGUAGAUAUCUGGAGGAACAUCAGUGGCGAAGGCGACUAUCUGGCACAUAACUGACGCUGAGGAGCGAAAGCGUGGGUAGCAAACAGGAUUAGAUACCCGAGUAGUC
RNAcentral lists this ribosomal RNA (465 nucleotides) under uncultured bacterium. Its description in RNAcentral is "partial 16S ribosomal RNA". It matches the Rfam family "Bacterial small subunit ribosomal RNA", at positions 338 to 795 of the family's 1533-position model. The record is from RNAcentral.